Molecule: RNase P RNA, 390 nt
Filed under: Sphingomonas bacterium
Lineage: Bacteria; Pseudomonadati; Pseudomonadota; Alphaproteobacteria; Sphingomonadales; Sphingomonadaceae
Description: RNase P RNA component class A
Rfam family: Bacterial RNase P class A
About the family: Ribonuclease P (RNase P) is a ubiquitous endoribonuclease, found in archaea, bacteria and eukarya as well as chloroplasts and mitochondria. Its best characterised activity is the generation of mature 5'-ends of tRNAs by cleaving the 5'-leader elements of precursor-tRNAs.
Source: RNAcentral
CCAGGGGACCGGGCGACCGCGGCUUUCGCGCAAGCGAGGGGCGAGGAAAGUCCGGGCUCCACGGAACGACGGUGCCGGGUAACGCCCGGCGGUCCUUCGCAAGAGGGGUCAGGGACAGUGCCACAGAAAGCAAACCGCCGGCUUUCGGGUCGGUAAGGGCGAAAGGGUGCGGCAAGAGCGCACCGCGCGGCUGGCAACAGGCGCGGCAUGGUAAACCCCACCGGGUGCAAGACCGAAUAGGGGCGUCAUUGGGCUUCGGUCCUGGGGGCUGUUCCGCCUCGACGCCCGGGUUGGUUGCUUGAGCGGCGAAGCAAUUCGUCGCCUAGAGGAAUGGUCGCCCAGGCACCGAAAGGUGCUGGACAGAACCCGGCUUACAGGUCCCCUGGCACU